GACGAACGCUGGCGGCGUGCUUAACACAUGCAAGUCGAACGGUAAGGCUCCAGCUUGCCUUGUUUCACGAUUGGCGAACGGGUGAGUAACACGCGUGGGACCUGUCCUUCUCUUCGUGAUAUGCCUUGGAAACUGGGUCUAUUACCGGAUAUGAUCAUUUUGUGGAUAUUGUUGAGGAGAGUUUGUGCGUUUUGGGAUGGGUUCGCGGCUUAUCCGCUCGUUGGUGGCGUAGUGGCCUACCAAGGCGGUGACGGGUAGCCGGCCUGAGAGGGUCGACGGCCACAUUGGGACUGAGGCACGGCCCAGACUCGUACGGGAGGCAGCAGGGGGGAAUAUUGCACAAUGGGCGGAAGCCUGAUGCAGAGACGCCGCGUGGGGGAUGACGGCCUUCGGGUUGUAAACACCUUUCACAAUCGACGAAGAGUUUCUGACGGUAGAUGGAGAAGAAGCAACGGCUAACUACGUG
This 466-nucleotide ribosomal RNA is filed under the name uncultured bacterium. Its description in RNAcentral is "partial 16S ribosomal RNA". It matches the Rfam family "Bacterial small subunit ribosomal RNA", at positions 28 to 507 of the family's 1533-position model. The record is from RNAcentral.